Drosophila mojavensis is the source of this 2557-nucleotide long non-coding RNA. RefSeq lists it as uncharacterized. Lineage: Eukaryota; Metazoa; Arthropoda; Insecta; Diptera; Drosophilidae. The record is from RefSeq and is a predicted model, not a curated record. The transcript is spliced from 3 exons.
GCAAACUGAGCGGAUGUGUGCGAGCGAGAGAGCGAGCGAACGAGCAGCAAUAGCAACAGCAAAAGUGAGCACAGUGAUAUUGCAGGCGAGCGCUGUUGCUGAGUGCGCGUGUGUGAAUGCGAGAGAGCGAAUGUAUGCGGUUGUCUGUGUGUGUGUGUGUGAGUGUGUGUGUUAGUGUGUGGCAUGACAAAGCUAACGAACUUGUCAGCCUGAAAUCCACACAGAGAGAGAGAGAGAGAGCGAGGGCGAGAGAGAGAGAGCAGGAGAAUAUAUACAAAGUGCGGAACGCAGAACAGCGUGGCAUAGGGUAAAUCAAAGUUAAUGCCAAAAGGAAACAAGACAAAACUAAAUAAAUAAUCAAGACCGACUCAGCAGAUGCUGGCCAAAUUGACGCUACAAGUGUGUGUAUUUAUGAAGUUGGCCACAGACGAAGAUGGCGAUAAAUAACCAAAACAAGACAACUGUUCCAGAAAGAGGCAGAGAGAGAAAGAGAGAGUAGCGAAUGAGAGCACGAUAAGAAACAGCAGAAUGAGAGACCUAGACAGAAAGAGAGGGAGACAGCAUGUGUGCGAUCGCUCGUUUAACGGUCAAACCACAAGGCAACAAAAACAACAAAUAUUAAAAAACCCACAGACACACACAUACAAAUACACAUACAGGCGCACUGGCAAUACCAAUGCUGGUCAAUACGUAUACGCCGCGUGGAACAAGUCUAAUACAUUGACUAAAUGUAAACUCGAGGGGUUGUUGACGUAGGUAGACAAGAGUCCACGGACAUGGAGAGGACAAACGGAACAGAUAGACAGCCAGCGAUAGCCAGAUAGCAAAAACAAAAACAAAAAACAAAAAAAAAAAACAAUAUGCUCUAUCGAACAGGUACUUCACAAAUAAGCGCGACCUGCGCUUUAUGGCUUCACGGGAACUGAUUAUCCCGUGCCAAGUGCUUAUCUAAAACACAAAAAUAAAUCAAAUAACUACACCCACAUAAUCUUAUCGACGCGUGGCGGCAGCUGUGGCCGUAGCAUGAAAUCUAAAACAACUGUAAACUGCAGAGGUAUCAAAGUCGAAAUUCUACAUGAGUCGCGCGUCGCGUCGCAGCUCAAAUUUCGCUGGGGUCUACGAAAAAACGGAGCAACCAGCAGAUAGAAGAUCAACUUAAAAGUGACCCUCGCCAAAAAUAAUGCAAUUCAGCAGCAACGCCAACGUCAACGUCCCAACUAUAAAACUAUAAACAGAACCAAACACGCACACAAAUUUGUAUUUAUAUUAUAAACAAUUGAUGUUUAUUUAGAAAGGCUAGAAAAUGUGUACAUGACGAUCAUUACCAUUAAUAAUCAUCAUCAGCAUGAUCAUUCUCUCCCUCUUUUCCAUAUUCCUAAGUCGUCGUGUUUUCUUUCCUUUUCUUUUUGACUGACAUUCAACUUUUGCAUGCGACGCAGUUUCACAUUGUUGGGAGCAGAUUUAUUCAUUUGUUGAUAUUAUUUAUAAAUAUUAAAUUUAUUUUUUAUUAUUUUGUUUCAACGGGGUUACGAGAGGGAUAGAAAAUCAUUGUCAUCGCAGAAGGUCGCGCGGCAAUUACUUGAAAAACACCUCUCCGCGACGCUCAAAAGAUUGCGUCAGUCAACAAAUGUGAACGAUAUUAAUAUGAACCAAUAACCCAUGGACAAAAUCCUCAGCAAUAUAUAUAUGUCCAUACUUAUAUAAAUACACACAUACAUAGUUAUUCGUAUACAUAUAACAAAUAAUAUUUAAACAACAUAUUGCAAACCUUUUAAAAAGUUAUUAAGUGUUCAGCUACGUUCGUUAUUUGUUGGCACAUAUUUGAGUUACCUGCUUGAGAUACAGAAAUAUUUACAUACAUACAUAUACAAUGCAGAUAAAUAUAUACAAAUGCAGAUAUAUAUGACUACAAUACAAUGCAGAUGCACGUAUAUGUAUGUAUAUGCCCAGGUAGCUCAAGUAGUAGCUGCAUGUAGAGGUUAUAGCCCUGAGAGCACUGUAUGUAAUUGCUUAAGGGAAUUUGGGAAGAUUUAUAUGAUAAUAUAAGAAAAAAAAAUUUAUAUAUAAAUGCGUAUUAUAAAUGUAAAUCAAAAUUCAAAAUUUAAAUAAGCUACACAGUGAAGCUCUUUCUACUGCCCUAAGUAGGUUUCUUUGAAAUAAUGUUUAUUUCCAAAAAUAAAAGAUUACAUAUUCAUUUGGAAUUUCCUAUAUUUGUUAUAUAUAGAAUAAUUAUCGAACUGAUAUUUCUGAAUUCAUAUAAUUAUCAUAAAUUGCUAGAAAGUUCUCUAAUUAGUUUUAUCUUUAAAUUGUAUGGCAAUUCAGCUGUCAUUAGUCGCUCGUGCAAUUAAUGAAAUGACUGAAUAUCAUUUUGGACAUAUGUAUGAUAGAUAGAUAUGAUAUAUACCGCAGAGCAACUUUGGAAACAAAUCGACUUUAAAGCCUACAACUUAUUCACAUAAAUAUUUCAACCUUAUUCCACUUUCAUAGGCAUCUACUCUUUAAAUAUUUAUAAAGGCUGCCUGGUUUUCUCAAGAACAUUUCAUAUAUAUAAAUUAAU